GGUAGAGACACAGGAGGAGGGAGAAGCAGGCCUCAUGCCAGGAAGCUGACGUGGGACUUGAUCCCGGGACUCCAGGAUCGCGCCCUGGGCCAAAGGCAGGCGCCAAACCUCUGAGCCACCCAGGGAUCCCCCAGUACUGCAUUUUUGUUGAGUGACUGCUCUGCUCUGCUCUGAACAUUUAAUGAAAUACUGUGGGGGUAUGUUGGUUUGCAUAAAAUAUGAACGUGACCAGUAAGAAUUUGGAAAACGUAGAGUGUGGAGGAAAUUUCAGAACUUGCAGCAUCAGGGGGAGGAAGAGUUGUCAAUUUAGUUCACUUAAUGCUGCUUUGAGAGUGAAUGUAAAAUACCUACCAGUACUUGGCAAGUAGCAGCGCCUCAACAAAUGUCAGGUCUCACGGUUGGGGCGGAAGGCAGCAUUCACUGGUAAUAUAAGUUCAAGGCCGCCUUCCUCCUGGGGCACAGAAUGAAUGUGCCAUCCAAGGUGAUGGAUAAGACUGUCAUGAAUAGUCAGGGAAAGCUUCGUCAAGGUGGCAGAUGUGACCCGAGCGUUGAGACAGGUGCAGUGGGCUGGUGUAGCUCUUCCACAUGGCGUGAUUCUCAAUGGCUGGGCAGUAGGCCCUGGCAGCUGGUCACUGGAGAGGAGACUGGUUAGAUUGUGCUGGGAAAUAAGGGAGGAAAAGUAAACUCUGGAAGAAGUGUGGGCAUCAUUGUACAUUGGCCUAAGGAACUUGGGCUGGAGACAAAGGUGCUGGAGGGUGGGGCGGAUACGGCUUCUGAUAUGAGAUUUCCAUGAUCAAAACCAGCCUUUCAGGAAGACCUCUGAUGAGGGUGCUGCACUCGCGGGCGCCUCUAGAGAGGCAGGGCAGGAAAACCCGGCCUCGAGGAAACCGCCUACCAGAGAGCAGCUCCCAGGGACCUCCGACGUGGGGUUUGGAGUUGCGGCUGCCCUGGCUCGGGGAAGCAUCGACGGCUCUCCGGACCCCGCAGCGGGCUUCGGGCGGUGUUGCCGCCGCCGCCGCCGCCGCCGCCGCCGUUCAGGGCUGCGAGCAUGAAGCCUAAAGGAUUUCCUCGCCGGUGGCCCACCGGCUUUUUGUUGUGGCUCCUAUUCUAAAACAUCACCACAAAAUACUUCUUUUUUUAAGAAAAAGAUUUUUAUUUAUUUAUUCAUGAGAGAUACAGAGAGAGAGGCAGAGACACAGGCAGAGGGAGAAGCAGGCUCCAUGCAGGGAGCCCAACGCGGGACUCGAUCCCAGGACUCCAGGAUCACACCCUGGGCCGAAGGCAGGCACCAAACCACUGAGCCAAUCAGGGAUCCCCCUCACCACAAAAUACUUAAUCCUUCUAGGCCUUUAGAAAUGUCAGAUCAGAGAGGCAAAGGUAGAGUUCUAAACAUAAAUCCGUGCCGUGAGCUGCUGUGGGUACAAUAGUUUACAAAUGAAAAGAUUUUGAAAUAAUUUGCACACUGAGAAAUGCCAGUAGUGGUUUGAGGUCCAUCGUUUGUGUCUAUUUACCCCUCCCCACCCCCACCCCCCUCCCUAACACUUGGGGAGCGGCUUUCUCGUACUGCUCGUGUCUUACUGCGAAGACACAGUACCUGGGCUCA
This 1603-nucleotide long non-coding RNA is filed under the name Vulpes vulpes (red fox). RNAcentral describes it as "lncRNA (ENSVVUG00000008577.1)". The record is from RNAcentral. Lineage: Eukaryota; Metazoa; Chordata; Mammalia; Carnivora; Canidae.